Molecule: ribosomal RNA, 511 nt
Filed under: uncultured soil bacterium
Lineage: Bacteria
Description: bacterial SSU rRNA
Rfam family: Bacterial small subunit ribosomal RNA
Source: RNAcentral
AGAUUGAACGCUGGCGGCAUGCUUUACACAUGCAAGUCGAACGGCAGCGCGGGGCAACCUGGCGGCGAGUGGCGAACGGGUGAGUAAUAUAUCGGAACGUACCCAAGAGUGGGGGAUAACGUAGCGAAAGUUACGCUAAUACCGCAUACGAUCUAAGGAUGAAAGCAGGGGACCGCAAGGCCUUGUGCUCCUGGAGCGGCCGAUAUCUGAUUAGCUAGUUGGUAGGGUAAAGGCUACCAAGGCUACGAUCAGUAGCUGGUCUGAGAGGACGACCAGCCACACUGGAACUGAGACACGGUCCAGACUCCUACGGGAGGCAGCAGUGGGGAAUUUUGGACAAUGGGCGCAAGCCUGAUCCAGCAAUGCCGCGUGAGUGAAGAAGGCCUUCGGUUGUAAAGCUCUUUGUCGAGGAAGAAACGGUAGGAGACGUAAUAUCCUACCAACUAAUGACGUACCUAGAAGAAAUAAAGCAACCGGACUAACCGUAACGUACGACCGAGACGAGCCGUAA